RNAcentral lists this ribosomal RNA (492 nucleotides) under uncultured bacterium. RNAcentral's name for it is "partial 16S ribosomal RNA". It matches the Rfam family "Bacterial small subunit ribosomal RNA", at positions 29 to 507 of the family's 1533-position model. The record is from RNAcentral.
AGUGAACGCUGGCGGUAGGCCUAACACAUGCAAGUCGAACGGCAGCACAGUAAGAGCUUGCUCUUACGGGUGGCGAGUGGCGGACGGGUGAGGAAUACAUCGGAAUCUACUUUUUCGUGGGGGAUAACGUAGGGAAACUUACGCUAAUACCGCAUACGACCUACGGGUGAAAGCAGUGGAUCUUCGGACCUUGCGCGAUUGAAUGAGCCGAUGUCGGAUUAGCUAGUUGGCGGGGUAAAGGCCCACCAGGGCGACGAUCCGUAGCUGGUCUGAGAGGAUGAUCAGCCACACUGGAACUGAGACACGGUCCAGACUCCUACGGGAGGCAGCAGUGGGGAAUAUUGGACAAUGGGCGCAAGCCUGAUCCAGCCAUACCGCGUGGGUGAAGAAGGCCUUCGGGUUGUAAAGCCCUUUUGUUGGGAAAGAAAAGCAGCAGGUUAAUACCCCGCUGUUCUGACGGUACCCAAAGAAUAAGCACCGGCUAACUUCGUG